RNAcentral lists this ribosomal RNA (485 nucleotides) under uncultured bacterium. Its description in RNAcentral is "bacterial SSU rRNA". It matches the Rfam family "Bacterial small subunit ribosomal RNA", at positions 28 to 505 of the family's 1533-position model. The record is from RNAcentral.
GAUGAACGCUAGCGGCAGGCUUAACACAUGCAAGUCGAGGGGCAGCGGUAUGUAGCAAUACAUAGCCGGCGACCGGCGCACGGGUGAGUAACACGUAUGCAACCUGCCCGUCACAGGGGUAUAAUCGAUGGAAACGUCGUCUAAUCCCCCAUAUAAUCAUUUUGCCGCAUGGUUGAAUGAUGAAAGCUGAUUGUGGUGACGGAUGGGCAUGCGGUGCAUUAGCUAGUAGGCGGGGUAACGGCCCACCUAGGCUACGAUGCAUAGGGGUUCUGAGAGGAAGGUCCCCCACACUGGUACUGAGACACGGACCAGACUCCUACGGGAGGCAGCAGUGAGGAAUAUUGGUCAAUGGUCGAGAGACUGAACCAGCCAAGUCGCGUGAAGGAAGACGGUUCUAUGGAUUGUAAACUUCUUUAGUCGGGGAGCAAAAAGAGUGACGAGUCACUAAUUGAGCGUACCCGAAGAAUAAGCAUCGGCUAACUCCG